CGGGACGUGGCGCAGCUUGGCAGCGCGCAUCGUUCGGGACGAUGAGGUCGUCGGUUCAAAUCCGACCGUCCCGACCA
This 77-nucleotide transfer RNA is filed under the name Actinomycetes bacterium. RNAcentral's name for it is "tRNA-Pro". It matches the Rfam family "tRNA". From Rfam's summary of the family: Transfer RNA (tRNA) molecules are approximately 80 nucleotides in length. Their secondary structure includes four short double-helical elements and three loops (D, anti-codon, and T loops). Lineage: Bacteria; Bacillati; Actinomycetota; Actinomycetes. RNAcentral also lists the same sequence under 3 other names. The record is from RNAcentral.